AUUGAACGCUGGCGGCAGGCCUAACACAUGCCAGUCGAGCGGAUGAAGGGAGCUUGCUCCUGGAUUCAGCGGCGGACGGGUGAGUAAUGCCUAGGAAUCUGCCUGGUAGUGGGGGAUAACGUCCGGAAACGGGCGCUAAUACCGCAUACGUCCUGAGGGAGAAAGUGGGGGAUCUUCGGACCUCACGCUAUCAGAUGAGCCUAGGUCGGAUUAGCUAGUUGGUGGGGUAAAGGCCUACCAAGGCGACGAUCCGUAACUGGUCUGAGAGGAUGAUCAGUCACACUGGAACUGAGACACGGUCCAGAAUCCUAAGGGAGGCAGCAGUGGGGAAUAUUGGACAAUGGGCGAAAGCCUGAUCCAGCCAUGCCGCGUGUGUGAAGAAGGUCUUCGGAUUGUAAAGCACUUUAAGUUGGGAGGAAGGGCAGUAAGUUAAUACCUUGCUGUUUUGACGUUACCAACAGAAUAAGCACCGGCUAACUUAGUG
This 484-nucleotide ribosomal RNA is filed under the name uncultured bacterium. RNAcentral's name for it is "partial 16S ribosomal RNA". It matches the Rfam family "Bacterial small subunit ribosomal RNA", at positions 30 to 507 of the family's 1533-position model. The record is from RNAcentral.